RNAcentral lists this ribosomal RNA (670 nucleotides) under Kluyveromyces marxianus. RNAcentral's name for it is "eukaryotic LSU rRNA". The stretch from base 219 to 372 matches the Rfam family "5.8S ribosomal RNA". The record is from RNAcentral. Lineage: Eukaryota; Fungi; Ascomycota; Saccharomycetes; Saccharomycetales; Saccharomycetaceae.
AUGAUAGAUUACUGGGGGAUCGUCUGAACAAGGCCUGCGCUUAAUUGCGCGGCCAGUUCUUGAUUCUCUGCUAUCAGUUUUCUAUUUCUCAUCCUAAACACAAUGGAGUUUUUUCUCUAUGAACUACUUCCCUGGAGAGCUCGUCUCUCCAGUGGACAUAAACACAAACAAUAUUUUGUAUUAUGAAAAACUAUUAUACUAUAAAAUUUAAUAUUCAAAACUUUCAACAACGGAUCUCUUGGUUCUCGCAUCGAUGAAGAACGCAGCGAAUUGCGAUAUGUAUUGUGAAUUGCAGAUUUUCGUGAAUCAUCAAAUCUUUGAACGCACAUUGCGCCCUCUGGUAUUCCAGGGGGCAUGCCUGUUUGAGCGUCAUUUCUCUCUCAAACCUUUGGGUUUGGUAGUGAGUGAUACUCGUCUCGGGUUAACUUGAAAGUGGCUAGCCGUUGCCAUCUGCGUGAGCAGGGCUGCGUGUCAAGUCUAUGGACUCGACUCUUGCACAUCUACGUCUUAGGUUUGCGCCAAUUCGUGGUAAGCUUGGGUCAUAGAGACUCAUAGGUGUUAUAAAGACUCGCUGGUGUUUGUCUCCUUGAGGCAUACGGCUUUAACCAAAACUCUCAAAGUUUGACCUCAAAUCAGGUAGGAGUACCCGCUGAACUUAAGCAUAUCAAUA